RNAcentral lists this ribosomal RNA (732 nucleotides) under uncultured marine archaeon. Its description in RNAcentral is "bacterial SSU rRNA". It matches the Rfam family "Archaeal small subunit ribosomal RNA", at positions 28 to 781 of the family's 1478-position model. The record is from RNAcentral.
CGCUAUUGGAGUUCGAUUAAGACAUGCGAGUCUGAGCAUUAGCUCGGCGUACCGCUCAGUAACACGUGGGUAACCUGCCCUAUCGUUUUGAAUAACCUCGGGAAACUGAGAACAAUACAUCAUAGUCCACUACGCCUGGAACGGUGAGUGGAUGAAGGUAGGAUGGGCCUGCGGCGUAUCAGGUUGUAGGGGGUGUAAUGGACCUCCUAGCCAUCGACGCGUACGGGUGUUGGGAGACAUAGCCCGGAGAUGGAUUCUGAGACACGAAUCCAGGCCCUACGGGGCGCAGCAGUUACGAAAACUUGGCAAUGCGGGAAACCGUGACCAGGGAACUCCAAGUGAGUCUCUUUUAGGGGCUCUUUUCUUGACUCUAAAACGGUCUUGGAAUAAGGGGUGGGUAAGGACGGUGCCAGCCGCCGCGGUAAUACCGGCGCCUCAAGUGGUCGUCGCUUUUAUUGGGCCUAAAACGUCCGUAGCCGGUUUGGUACAUUCGUGGGUAAAUCAGCUCGCUCAACGAGUUGAAUUCUGCGAGGACCGCCAGACUAGGGACCGGGAGAGGUGUGGGGAACUCUCAGGGUAGGGGUCAAAUCCUGUCAUCCUGAGAGGACCACCUGUUGCGAAGGCGCCACACUAGAACGGAUCCGACGGUCAGGGACGAAGCCUAGGGGCACGAACCGGAUUAGAUACCCGGGUAGUCCUAGGUGUAAACGCUGUAGACUUGGUGUUGGGGAA